CCCCAAGAUAAGGUCUCCCACAGGGAAAACCUGGUAAGGCACCUCCGAGAAGAGGAGGUAGAUAGGCCGGAGGUGGAAGCGCAGCAAUGCGUGGAGCCGACCGGUACUAAUAUGCCGAGGCUUUGACGCCUG
RNAcentral lists this ribosomal RNA (132 nucleotides) under Dictyoglomus turgidum. Its description in RNAcentral is "partial 23S ribosomal RNA". It matches the Rfam family "Bacterial large subunit ribosomal RNA", at positions 2797 to 2925 of the family's 2925-position model. The record is from RNAcentral. Lineage: Bacteria; Pseudomonadati; Dictyoglomota; Dictyoglomia; Dictyoglomales; Dictyoglomaceae.